This is a long non-coding RNA of Heterocephalus glaber (naked mole-rat), 1958 nucleotides long. RefSeq lists it as uncharacterized. The record is from RefSeq and is a predicted model, not a curated record. Lineage: Eukaryota; Metazoa; Chordata; Mammalia; Rodentia; Bathyergidae.
CUGCGGGUCCUCGCAAAGCACGGGACUGACCCAAAUUUCAGCUCCGAGCCUCUUGCUCUUCAGAGCACAACCUCUUGCUCAACAAUUAGUCUUUUGUGCUGCAUCACACUAGUCCCUUUCACCUGUAAUCUCAUCCCAGCCUCCAGUCCCAGGGUGGGCAGGUUCCCCUGGACCAGCUCUGCGCACUAACGGAGAAGCCCACGUACACCGUACCCCAUGCAAAGGAAGCUCUGUCACAGGACGGCACACUCCCUAGAAACACUCGCCAAGGUCAUGACUGAAGAGCAAGCUCGGCUGGAGAAACUGAGCCCCCGACAGGGGCAGCGAGCAGCCCGAGAUACCUGCCUCCGCCAAUUGUCCCGUAUCCAGGCCAGGUACUCUGGGACAAGCUCCAACCGCUUUCUGUCCGCGAGUCUGGCUCUGGCUCCGGCUCCCUGCCCUCGUAUCGGGACAGCCACAGGAAUUGAGGAUCCCGCGUCGCAGGGUCGAAGCCUGUGGGUUCCCCUUUACACAGAUUGCCACCAAUCCUUCCUAGAAAUUCUGGAGCCUCCUCUGCUUCUGACUCAAACCCAGGUCUGUCUGACUCCAAUGAACCCUUUUGCUGUCCUGCCUGUCAGCUUGAACUGCAUGAACUGGAUGGAACUGAAUUGGAUUUGCAAGGACAUGACAAAUUAGAAGAAUGAAGAAAUCCCUGUCAUGACAAUUCAGAGAAGUGGAGUUAGUACAGUUUCCCUGCUGGUUACCCCGCAGUGGGAUACAAGAAAUAAAAAUAGAUAAAAAAGGAGACAAGGAAACUCCAUUAUUUGUCUCACAUAUUAUCUUAAAACUUUGGGACAGAUCCCUUGCCCAGCUCUGCAGGUAGCAGAGUGUCAGGUAAUAUAGAGUUUAUUGGCCCUAAAUUCAUCUUAACUUCCUUCAAAACUGGGGACACCAAGAUAAGGGGGAAUUUUCAGGGACUCUUAGUUGCCAGCUUUUGCAACUUCCAGUUCCAGAUACCCUUGGAGCAAUGGCUAGAAGUCUUCAAAGCUACAACCAGAUCAGUUUCCAGAGAAAGGAGAAUCUUGCUGACCACCUGUUGAUGAGAUCAUCUUCCCCCAAGCAAGAGCAAUAAUCUCAAGACAGGAACUGAGGCUGCCAUACACACAACCCCCACACAAGGAAGAUCAACUCAGGAGACAAAUUGCCCCUCAAACCAUAAGGAUUUCUUCAGAGCGAUGGAAGCUGACAGCUGAGACAGUAAUCUAUUGGACCUGGCCCACUUCUGGUAGUCCUUAAAAGCUGAUCUUGUGUUUUUGUGCCCAGGCCAGUCUGAAUCUCCUUUGUCAGAGACUCUUGACGAAGCCCAACCAACCUCCAAUGCUGCUUGACAAAGUUCCAGCUGGGGGAAAGAAAGGGUGGAACACAUCGUACCCUCAUGUUUUAUUUUUUCUUGCCAUAAUGUUUAUAAUUGUUACUCUGGUCACAGGAGUCACUGUGUUUGUGACUAACAACAAACUCUCCAUGAGGCAAAUUGGCAAUGAUGUAUUGAAAUCUGAUCUGGCUCAAAAGUCCCAAAUUCCAGUUUCUCUUAGUUCUAUUACCUCAUCUAUGUCUGAAAAAACCUCUCCUAAAACCCCCCUCUGUUUUCCCACUACUAUAACUCCCUCUCUUAUUGCUCACAUUCUUUUUACUAAAGGGGUCUUAUGAAGAGAUUGGAAGGAUAGACUUUAGAUGUAAGAAAUAGUGGGAAAUGGGAAAUAGAAAAAAAGUUAAGACAGGAAAACACAUUAAGGGGGCAAGUUACUCAGUAUUUCUCAAAGUGCUGCAAAUAUCUCCUGCUCAUGGACUAUGAACCCAAAUGACACUUAGGUAAGAUAAAUAGAGGUAUAGAAAAAUAGCUAAUAGCAAACUAUAUUAACCAUUGUACAGUUUCUCAAGGGCUAGCUGGUGACCACAAGUUUGACAUUUAAUUAAUUAAA